This 559-nucleotide ribosomal RNA is filed under the name Penicillium dipodomyicola. RNAcentral's name for it is "eukaryotic LSU rRNA". The stretch from base 193 to 345 matches the Rfam family "5.8S ribosomal RNA". Lineage: Eukaryota; Fungi; Ascomycota; Eurotiomycetes; Eurotiales; Aspergillaceae. The record is from RNAcentral.
UGCGGAAGGAUCAUUACCGAGUGAGGGCCCUCUGGGUCCAACCUCCCACCCGUGUUUAUUUUACCUUGUUGCUUCGGCGGGCCCGCCUUAACUGGCCGCCGGGGGGCUUACGCCCCCGGGCCCGCGCCCGCCGAAGACACCCUCGAACUCUGUCUGAAGAUUGUAGUCUGAGUGAAAAUAUAAAUUAUUUAAAACUUUCAACAACGGAUCUCUUGGUUCCGGCAUCGAUGAAGAACGCAGCGAAAUGCGAUACGUAAUGUGAAUUGCAAAUUCAGUGAAUCAUCGAGUCUUUGAACGCACAUUGCGCCCCCUGGUAUUCCGGGGGGCAUGCCUGUCCGAGCGUCAUUUCUGCCCUCAAGCACGGCUUGUGUGUUGGGCCCCGUCCUCCGAUCCCGGGGGACGGGCCCGAAAGGCAGCGGCGGCACCGCGUCCGGUCCUCGAGCGUAUGGGGCUUUGUCACCCGCUCUGUAGGCCCGGCCGGCGCUUGCCGAUCAACCCAAAUUUUUAUCCAGGUUGACCUCGGAUCAGGUAGGGAUACCCGCUGAACUUAAGCAUAUCA